RNAcentral lists this ribosomal RNA (1363 nucleotides) under uncultured bacterium. RNAcentral describes it as "bacterial SSU rRNA". It matches the Rfam family "Bacterial small subunit ribosomal RNA", at positions 28 to 1381 of the family's 1533-position model. The record is from RNAcentral.
AUUGAACGCUGGCGGCAGGCCUAACACAUGCAAGUCGAACGGUAACAGGAAACAGCUUGCUGUUUCGCUGACGAGUGGCGGACGGGUGAGUAAUGUCUGGGAAACUGCCUGAUGGAGGGGGAUAACUACUGGAAACGGUAGCUAAUACCGCAUAACGUCGCAAGACCAAAGAGGGGGACCCUCGGGCCUCUUGCCAUCGGAUGUGCCCAGAUGGGAUUAGCUUGUUGGUGGGGUAACGGCUCACCAAGGCGACGAUCCCCAGCUGGUCUGAGAGGAUGACCAGCCACACUGGAACUGAGACACGGUCCAGACUCCUACGGGAGGCAGCAGUGGGGAAUAUUGCACAAUGGGCGCAAGCCUGAUGCAGCCAUGCCGCGUGUAUGAAGAAGGCCUUCGGGUUGUAAAGUACUUUCAGCGGGGAGGAAGGGAGUAAAGUUAAUACCUUUGCUCAUUGACGUUACCCGCAGAAGAAGCACCGGAUAACUCCGUGCCAGCACCCGCGGUAAUACGGAGGGUGCAAGCGUUAAUCGGAAUUACUGGGCGUAAAGCGCACGCAGGCGGUUUGUUAAGUCAGAUGUGAAAUCCCCGGGCUCAACCUGGGAACUGCAUCUGAUACUGGCAAGCUUGAGUCUCGUAGAGGGGGGUAGAAUUCCAGGUGUAGCGGUGAAAUGCGUAGAGAUCUGGAGGAAUACCGGUGGCGAAGGCGGCCCCCUGGACGAAGACUGACGCUCAGGUGCGAAAGCGUGGGGAGCAAACAGGAUUAGAUACCCUGGUAGUCCACGCCGUAAACGAUGUCGACUUGGAGGUUGUGCCCUUGAGGCGUGGCUUCCGGAGCUAACGCGUUAAGUCGACCGCCUGGGGAGUACGGCCGCAAGGUUAAAACUCAAAUGAAUUGACGGGGGCCCGCACAAGCGGUGGAGCAUGUGGUUUAAUUCGAUGCAACGCGAAGAACCUUACCUGGUCUUGACAUCCACGGAAGUUUUCAGAGAUGAGAAUGUGCCUUCGGGAACCGUGAGACAGGUGCUGCAUGGCUGUCGUCAGCUCGUGUUGUGAAAUGUUGGGUUAAGUCCCGCAACGAGCGCAACCCUUAUCCUUUGUUGCCAGCGGUCCGGCCGGGAACUCAAAGGAGACUGCCAGUGAUAAACUGGAGGAAGGUGGGGAUGACGUCAAGUCAUCAUGGCCCUUACGACCAGGGCUACACACGUGCUACAAUGGCGCAUACAAAGAGAAGCGACCUCGCGAGAGCAAGCGGACCUCAUAAAGUGCGUCGUAGUCCGGAUUGGAGUCUGCAACUCGACUCCAUGAAGUCGGAAUCGCUAGUAAUCGUGGAUCAGAAUGCCACGGUGAAUACGUUCCCGGGCCU